This is a non-coding RNA of Neolamprologus brichardi, 731 nucleotides long. The record is from RefSeq and is a predicted model, not a curated record. Lineage: Eukaryota; Metazoa; Chordata; Actinopteri; Cichliformes; Cichlidae.
CAGAUCAGUUCGGCUCCGUGUUGGUUCAGAUGCUCUGCAGGUUCAUGCGUGAGAAUGUGGCCGUCUGCAUCUUUUAUCAUAUUGAACUGUGUUUGUGUGUCUGCAGGGUCUGGUGCUGGGAGUGUUUGAGAAGAAGGAGGAGGAUGAGGGCACUCUUCAUCUGACAGAGGCGGCUGCAGGGUUUGACAAGUCUCUCUCCGGAAAGCUCUCUGAGCUGCUCAAACUCUCUGGGCCUGCACUCAAGAACGGCAAAAGCAGAGUAUUUUAUGGACUUCACAAGGACUUCCCAUGUGUAGCAGUAGUCGGUUUGGGUAAGAACCACGCAGGUGUUUGUCGCACAGAAAACUGGGACACCAGCAAGGAGAACAUCAGGCAGGCUGUGUCAGGUAUGCCGUUGGUGCGUAUAACAGAAGGAGUAAAGUGUUGUGCAAUAUCGCUUAAAUGUGUUAUGGACUGGUUCUUAUAUAGCGCUUUUCUACUCUAUUUGAGCACUCAAAGCUUUAUACAACACUCCCCAUUAAUACAAGCAUUUUUUUUUUUAAUUUCGCCGAACACUUCAUCAGCCAGGGAUCAAUCCACCAGUCUUCCGAUUAGUAGAUUAUCUCACCCAUCUAUCCAUCCAUCUUCUUCCACUUAUCCAAUACGUGGUUCUGGUGGCAUUCCUACAUAUUUCCAGUUCCUUGUGAUGGAUCUCAAGGUGUGAGAUAUGUAAUCUCUCCAGCGGGUUCUGU